GGAGGUGUGAGAAAGCUCUCUUUUCAAUUCAAAGAUUUUGGUCCUGUUGUAGUGCCAUAUCUGGCCUGGAGUUAGGACCAUAUACUCUGUGCAGUAUCAGAAUACUGCACACUUUCAGCAAUUUGAGGGGAGAGGGAGGCAGUUAACCAAGAAAUUACCAUGUUAUUGCACCUAUCCCAUAACCUUUGUUGAGCCACAUUAAUGGCUGGUCGGGAGCAUGUGCCAUCAACAAAACCAAUUUUGUUUUUAGCAGAUAAUGCAACAAUCAUUUUUCUCCUCCAACCCCCAUAACCACU
Molecule: long non-coding RNA, 296 nt
Filed under: Nicotiana benthamiana
Lineage: Eukaryota; Viridiplantae; Streptophyta; Magnoliopsida; Solanales; Solanaceae
Description: long non-coding RNA (NBEN_LNC025312)
Source: RNAcentral